AUUCCAGCUCCAAUAGCGUAUAUUUAAGUUGUUGCAGUUAAAAAGCUCGUAGUUGGAUUUCGGGUGGGUACCGCCGGUCUCCCACUGGGUAUGUACUGGCGUGGCCCGCCUUGCUGUCGGGGACGAUCUCCUGGGCUUUACUGUCCGGGAAUCGGAGUCGACGAUGUUACUUUGAGUAAAUUAGAGUGUUCAAAGCAAGCCUACGCUCUGAAUAUAAUAGCAUGGGAUAACACGACAGGACUCUGGCCUAUCGUGUUGGUCUGUAGGACCGGAGUAAUGAUUAAGAGGGACAGUCGGGGGCAUUCGUAUUCCAUUGUCAGAGGUGAAAUUCUUGGAUUUAUGGAAGACGAACAUCUGCGAAAGCAUUUGUCAAGGAUGUUUUCAUCG
This 387-nucleotide ribosomal RNA is filed under the name Chlorothrix sp. (in: green algae). RNAcentral describes it as "Chlorothrix sp. partial small subunit ribosomal RNA". It matches the Rfam family "Eukaryotic small subunit ribosomal RNA", at positions 582 to 975 of the family's 1831-position model. The record is from RNAcentral. Lineage: Eukaryota; Viridiplantae; Chlorophyta; Ulvophyceae; Ulotrichales; Ulotrichaceae.